Long non-coding RNA from Papaver somniferum (opium poppy), 468 nucleotides. RefSeq lists it as uncharacterized. The record is from RefSeq and is a predicted model, not a curated record. NCBI's taxonomy places the organism in Eukaryota, Viridiplantae, Streptophyta, Magnoliopsida, Ranunculales, Papaveraceae. The transcript has 2 exons.
UUAUUCUUCUUUAUUCUCCCAUUUCUCUCGAGAGCAAAACUAGGGUUGCCGAAGAGGCGACUCCAUUUUCUUCUCAUCUUCAACCUUUUAUCUUCUUUACUAACUCCAACGCUCACCUAACUACAUCACAGUCAUCACCACCAUCAUCUCCAGUUGCUGCUGAUAUUUGUUGAUAAUCAGAUGUAGUCUACAGAUGCUGCUUGGAAGAACCUCUAGAAUAUCUAUCAUAUUGGAGUUUACAUAAGUUGAAGAAUAAAACCUUAGUCUGCUAGCUAUCAUUCGUUGAUUCGUUGAUUCUUUAUUCAUUCAUUUUUUCUUACAAAAGUAUCAAAACAGUCUAGUAACUCUAGUUUGCUUCAAGUUGCUUUCAAUUUGCUUGGGAUUAUUAUCAGUUUAUUUAGAGAUUUUUCAUUUUGCUUAAAGAUUAUUAUCAGUUUGAUUAUGGAAUUUAUUAUUAUUCUUAGCAAA